Small nucleolar RNA from Lathyrus oleraceus (garden pea), 126 nucleotides. RefSeq annotates it as small nucleolar RNA snoR74. The transcript has a single exon. The record is from RefSeq and is a predicted model, not a curated record. NCBI's taxonomy places the organism in Eukaryota, Viridiplantae, Streptophyta, Magnoliopsida, Fabales, Fabaceae.
AAAAAAGCUGUGGUUUGUUGCCUUUGUGAGCAGUCCUCUUGUUAAAUUUAGGGAUAUAGAAUCCAUUGUUAUUGGGUGAACCUCUUUCCCUUUGUGUGUGAAGGUUCAGUAAACGAUGAAACAUUU